Molecule: long non-coding RNA, 313 nt
Filed under: Dromaius novaehollandiae (emu)
Lineage: Eukaryota; Metazoa; Chordata; Aves; Casuariiformes; Dromaiidae
Description: lncRNA (ENSDNVG00000019113.1)
Source: RNAcentral
AAGCAGUCCAUGGCUCCUAGGAACUCUGUGAAGCACCACGUGAAAAAUAUUUGGGGGGAUAAGCAAUAGAGACGGCACUUGCUCAGGUCCUACGGUGCAGCUCUGAAGAGCCAAGGUCAAGCUUGGAGCAGCAGGCUCCCUCCUGAACAACAGUUUUCUCCAGGAGACCUUUAUACACAGGGAAAUUGAGGCACUGCUUGGUGGAAAGACCCACACGUGGCUGCACAAGAAGCGAGCAGUAGAACUCAAGCCUCAGGGCAGUCGAGGUCCUUGCACCACAGCUGGAGUCAUUAGCAAAAGGGAGGAGGAAAGA